GGAUAACCUGUUGUUGGGUUGAUGCCCCAUAAUUAGUAAUUUUAAGGAAAUUUUGCUGUUUUUGGUUAUUAUCUUGAAUAUUGUUAUAGAUAGAGAUAAACUGUAAACAGCAAUAAUGUUCAGCUAAGUAAGAUCUAGAAAUAAGUCAACUUGACCAAAAUCGUCAGUUGACCCCUUAAGGAGUUGUUGCCCAUUUUAUUCAAUUUUUAACAAUUUUCACUAAUUUGGUAAAUUUUUGUAAAUUUUUACAAAAUAUUUUUCACUGUAUCUAAAGGUCCAAGUUUAUUAUAGAUAGAGAAAAUUCUAAGUACCAAGAAUGUUCAGUAAAGUAAGAUCUACAAACACAUCACUAUCAGCAAAACACAAUUUUGUCAUGAAUCCAUCUGUGUCCUUUGUUUAAUAUGCACAUAGACCAAGGUGAGCGACACAGGCUCUUUAGAGCCUCUAGUUGGUUAUUAUCUUGAACAUUAUUAUAGAUAGAGAUAAACUGUAAACAGCAGUAAUGUUCAGCAAAGUAAGAUCUACAAAUAAGUCAACAUGACCAAAAUGGUCAGUUGACCACUUUAGGAGUUAUUGCCCUUUAUAGUCAAUUUUUAACCAUUUUUUCGUAAAUCUUAGUAAUCUUUUAGAAAAAUCUUUUCCUCUGAAACUACUGGGCCAAAUUUAACCAAACUUAGCCAUAAUCAUCAUUGGGGUAUCUAGUUAAAAAAAUGUGUCCGGUAACUCGGCCAACAAACCAAGAUGGCCGCCAUGGCUAAAAAUAGAACAUGGGGGUAAAAUGCAGUUUUUGGCCUAUAACUCAAAAACCAAAGCAUUAAGAGCAAAUCUGACAGGAAGUAAAAUUGUUGAUCAGGUCAAGAUCUAUCUGCCCUGGAAUUUUCAGAUGAAUCGGAUAAUCGGUUGUUAGGUUGCUGUCCCUGAAUUGGUAAUUUUGAGGAAAUUUUGCUGUUUUUUUGUUAUUAUCUUGAAUAUUAUUAUAAAUAGAGAUAAACUGUAAACAGCAAUAAUGUACAGCAAAGUAAGAACUAAAAAUAAGUCAAUUGACCCCCUAAGGAGUUAUUGCCCUUCAUAGUCAAUUUUUAACAAUUUUCUUAAAAUUUGAAGAUUUUCAAUAACAUUUUCCACAGAAAGUACUGUUAUAGCUAGAGAUAAUUGUAAGCAGCAAGAAUGCUUAGUAAAGUAAGAUCUACAAACACAUCACCAUCACCAAAACACAAUUUUGUCAUGAAUCCAUCUGUGUCCAUUGUUUAAUAUUCACAUAGACCAAGGUGAGCGACACAGGCUCUUUAGAGCCUCUAGUUUUCUAA
Molecule: long non-coding RNA, 1307 nt
Filed under: Mytilus galloprovincialis (Mediterranean mussel)
Lineage: Eukaryota; Metazoa; Mollusca; Bivalvia; Mytilida; Mytilidae
Source: RNAcentral